CGCCUUCUCUUUUUUUGCUGUUUCUGUUGGUGGAUCCUAUGGCUCAGAGCCGCAGCUCCGUGCAGAGUUGGAGGCCGUGGUCUUCGUCCACCGGCGCCGGGAGGUUGAGGUCGAGCCCGAGCGGCGCGCGCGACCGGACCGUGGAGGCGUCGUCGCCGUCGUCCACGACGGAGGCCGACGAGGCGCAGUCGCUGUGGCAGUCGGCCUCGGGCGCCGCCUUCCGCGGGGGACGCGGCUUUACCAACCGCCUGCUGCUUCGAGGAGCCACCGCCGUCGUCCCUGCCGCCGCCCUGGGCUGCGCCCCACGGGGCCCGCUGGAGGACUCGACGGUGGAGCUGGAGCUGCACGUGGGCGCGGCCGGCGCCGGCGCGACGGGGCGUGAUGCCAGCGGGAGGCGGGAGGCGGCGGAGGGGAAGUUGGUCCUGGCUAGGGGCCCGCGCAGGGUCCGCGCGGCGACGUCGUAGGCCCGCGCGGCGGCCUCGGCGGAGUCGAAGGUGCCGAGCCAGACGCGCGCGCGCUUGGCCGGGUCGCGGAUCUCCGCCGCGAACCGGCCCCACGGCCGCUUCCGCACGCCCCUGUACCGCGGCGCU
This 590-nucleotide long non-coding RNA is filed under the name Setaria italica (foxtail millet). Its description in RNAcentral is "long non-coding RNA (SITA_LNC001788)". The record is from RNAcentral. Lineage: Eukaryota; Viridiplantae; Streptophyta; Magnoliopsida; Poales; Poaceae.